Molecule: long non-coding RNA, 261 nt
Filed under: Panax ginseng (ginseng)
Lineage: Eukaryota; Viridiplantae; Streptophyta; Magnoliopsida; Apiales; Araliaceae
Description: long non-coding RNA (PGIN_LNC000780)
Source: RNAcentral
GUGAAUUCAAAUACCGUGCAGUCCGUGAUUUCUAAAUUUAAAUAGUAUCCUUUUCAUUCUCCUACAAAUAGGAUUCUUAGUUAGAAUUGAGAAUCACACCAAAAUCAGAGAAUUCUUCUUCUAUAAUAUUAAGCGUAUUUCUAUAGAGUUUUAAAAAGCUUUGAGCGUAGAAAAUAGUGAAAGUUUUCUUCAAGAAUAUUUCCGCACUACCAGUCGGAAUACUCUUCUUUUUAAGGUAAGGGAUAUUAUUUUUGUUCAAUA